AGUCUGCAACCCGACUCCGUGAAGCUGGAUUCGCUAGUAAUCGCGCAUCAGCCAUGGCGCGGUGAAUACGUUCCCGGGCCUUGUACACACCGCCCGUCAAGCCAUGGGAGCCGGGGGCACUUGAAGUACGCCGCCGCGAGGAGCGUCCUAGAGUGAAACUGGUGACUGGGGCUAAGUCGUAACAAGGUACC
Molecule: ribosomal RNA, 191 nt
Filed under: uncultured bacterium
Lineage: Bacteria
Description: partial 16S ribosomal RNA
Rfam family: Bacterial small subunit ribosomal RNA
Source: RNAcentral